RNAcentral lists this ribosomal RNA (542 nucleotides) under uncultured bacterium. Its description in RNAcentral is "bacterial SSU rRNA". It matches the Rfam family "Bacterial small subunit ribosomal RNA", at positions 355 to 911 of the family's 1533-position model. The record is from RNAcentral.
UGGGGAAUCUUGGACAAUGGGGGCAACCCUGAUCCAGCCAUGCCGCGUGAGUGAUGAAGGCCUUAGGGUCGUAAAGCUCUUUCGCCUGUGAAGAUAAUGACGGUAGCAGGUAAAGAAACCCCGGCUAACUCCGUGCCAGCAGCCGCGGUAAUACGGAGGGGACUAGCGUUGUUCGGAAUUACUGGGCGUAAAGCGCACGUAGGCGGACCAGAAAGUUGGGGGUGAAAUCCCGGGGGCUCAACCCCGGAACUGCCUCCAAAACUAUUGGUCUAGAGUUCGAGAGAGGUGAGUGGAAUUCCAAGUGUAGAGGUGAAAUUCGUAGAUAUUUGGAGGAACACCAGUGGCGAAGGCGGCUCACUGGCUCGAUACUGACGCUGAGGUGCGAAAGUGUGGGGAGCAAACAGGAUUAGAUACCCUGGUAGUCCACACCGUAAAACGAUGAAUGCCAGUCGUCGGGUAGCAUGCUAUUCGGUGACACACCUAACGGAUUAAGCAUUCCGCCUGGGGAGUACGGUCGCAAGAUUAAAACCUCAAAUUGAAUU